CAGCAGCCGCGGUAAUACGAAGGGGGCUAGCGUUGUUCGGAUUUACUGGGCGUAAAGGGCGCGUAGGCGGACUGAUAAGUCAGGGGUGAAAUCCCAAGGCUCAACCCUGGAACUGCCUUUGAUACUGUUUGUCUUGAGUUCGAGAGAGGUAAGUGGAACUGCGAGUGUAGAGGUGAAAUUCGUAGAUAUUCGCAAGAACACCAGUGGCGAAGGCGGCUUACUGGCUCGAAACUGACGCUGAGGCGCGAAAGCGUGGGGAGCAAACAGGAUUAGAUACCCGAGUAGUCCCUGUCUCUUAUAC
RNAcentral lists this ribosomal RNA (301 nucleotides) under uncultured bacterium. RNAcentral's name for it is "partial 16S ribosomal RNA". It matches the Rfam family "Bacterial small subunit ribosomal RNA", at positions 509 to 807 of the family's 1533-position model. The record is from RNAcentral.